UCAUGAGGCCAUGAAUGCAUGGAUGAACAAUAUUUGUUAGAAAGCUGUCGUACUUGAAUCGGCCCAAGUACAACUACCUUCUUAACCGACUCUAGUGGUCUUUAAUGAGCAGUUCAACUACCUCAUCCAGCAAGUGCAAGCUCUAUUCGCUAUUGUACAAGGGAUGCAACAAACUGCUGCAUCCCAACCUAUUCUGGAAGCUCCACAUUAGAAUCAAGCU
This 220-nucleotide long non-coding RNA is filed under the name Elaeis guineensis (African oil palm). RNAcentral describes it as "long non-coding RNA (EGUI_LNC024914)". Lineage: Eukaryota; Viridiplantae; Streptophyta; Magnoliopsida; Arecales; Arecaceae. The record is from RNAcentral.